RNAcentral lists this ribosomal RNA (240 nucleotides) under uncultured bacterium. RNAcentral's name for it is "partial 16S ribosomal RNA". It matches the Rfam family "Bacterial small subunit ribosomal RNA", at positions 333 to 587 of the family's 1533-position model. The record is from RNAcentral.
UUGUGCCUACGGGGGGCAGCAGUGGGGAAUAUUGCACAAUGGGCGAAAGCCUGAUGCAGCAACGCCGCGUGAAGGAAGAAGGGUUUCGGCUCGUAAACUUCUAUCAACAGGGACGAAAGAAAUGACGGUACCUGAAUAAGAAGCCCCGGCUAACUACGUGCCAGCAGCCGCGGUAAUACGUAGGGGGCAAGCGUUAUCCGGAUUUACUGGGUGUAAAGGGAGCGUAGACGGAAAGGCAAG